UACGGAGGGUGCAAACGUUGCUCGGAAUCAUUGGGCGUAAAGCGCACGUAGGCGGCGCGAAAAGUCAGGUGUGAAAGCCCUCGGCUUAACCGAGGAAGUGCACUUGAAACUUUCGGGCUUGAGUACAGAAGAGGGUCUCGGAAUUCCCGGUGUAGAGGUGAAAUUCGUAGAUAUCGGGAGGAACACCAGAGGCGAAGGCGGAGACCUGGGCUGAUACUGACGCUGAGGUGCGAAAGCGUGGGGAGCAAACAGG
RNAcentral lists this ribosomal RNA (253 nucleotides) under uncultured bacterium. RNAcentral describes it as "partial 16S ribosomal RNA". It matches the Rfam family "Bacterial small subunit ribosomal RNA", at positions 524 to 776 of the family's 1533-position model. The record is from RNAcentral.